This 722-nucleotide long non-coding RNA is filed under the name Gossypium barbadense (sea-island cotton). Its description in RNAcentral is "long non-coding RNA (GBAR_LNC000984)". Lineage: Eukaryota; Viridiplantae; Streptophyta; Magnoliopsida; Malvales; Malvaceae. The record is from RNAcentral.
CAUUUUUCUAACCAAAAACCCCCGAAAUUCCUAACCCUUCCUCAUAUUCUUCACAUUGGCCGACUCAUAAUACUCCUCCACCACCGUCGCGGUUUCAGCCAGACCCACAAGGAUCUGUCAACCUUCAGACCGGAGGAGCCAACGUCAACUAAAUCGACACCAAAAAAGUAAAUAAACUCCCUUUUUUAGAUUCCUCAAGUAGAUUCAAAAUAAAGUAAAAAAAAAGAGAAUAAGAACAGAGAAAAAAAAUGCGAAUCACCUUUGGUAAACUGUUUUUGAAUUGAUUUCUUUUUUUUUUUCCGUCCCCCUUUAAUACAAUUGAAAAGAUGGCUUUAUAGCCGAAAAAUAGAAACAAUACAACAUUUUUUGUCUCUUUUUCUUCUUCUGCUAUUGUGCUCUGCUGCUAUUUUUUCAUGUUUCGUAGGUACAAGGCCAGCUAAGGCGUACGGAGGAAGCGACGUGGCUUGUGGUGGUGCGUGAAGGCCGUACAGAGGCGCGCUGGAGGCUGUUAAUGAUAUUUAGAUUUUUACUUAUUUUUGUUUUUUUUUAUUUUGGGUUUAUAGGCCCUGGCUAAAUUAGGCCUCUACACUUUAUUUUAAAUAGUUUUAUACAUUAUUUAUUUUAGAUUUUUUUUACAUAUUAGUUCUCUUAAACUAUUUUAUGUAUCAUUUAUUUAAAAUUGAUUUAUAGGAUUCAUUUCAAAUUGUUUUAUUGUAUAUUAU